ACACUCCUGCGGGAGGCAGCAGUGGGGAAUAUUGCACAAUGGGCGCAAGCCUGAUGCAGCCAUGCCGCGUGUAUGAAGAAGGCCUUCGGGUUGUAAAGUACUUUCAGCGGGGAGGAAGGCGAUAAGGUUAAUAACCUUGUUGAUUGACGUUACCCGCAGAAGAAGCACCGGCUAACUCCGUGCCAGCAGCCGCGGUAAUACGGAGGGUGCAAGCGUUAAUCGGAAUUACUGGGCGUAAAGCGCACGCAGGCGGUCUGUCAAGUCGGAUGUGAAAUCCCCGGGCUCAACCUGGGAACUGCAUUCGAAACUGGCAGGCUAGAGUCUUGUAGAGGGGGGUAGAAUUCCAGGUGUAGCGGUGAAAUGCGUAGAGAUCUGGAGGAAUACCGGUGGCGAAGGCGGCCCCCUGGACAAAGACUGACGCUCAGGUGCGAAAGCGUGGGGAGCAAACAGGAUUAGAAACCCUAGUAGUCC
Molecule: ribosomal RNA, 471 nt
Filed under: uncultured organism
Description: partial 16S ribosomal RNA
Rfam family: Bacterial small subunit ribosomal RNA
Source: RNAcentral